This is a long non-coding RNA of Seriola aureovittata, 336 nucleotides long. RefSeq lists it as uncharacterized. The record is from RefSeq and is a predicted model, not a curated record. Lineage: Eukaryota; Metazoa; Chordata; Actinopteri; Carangiformes; Carangidae. The transcript has 3 exons.
GGGUAAUAGGCCUAUGUUACAGUUUUCACUUGUACUGGACACAAUAUGUUUAUGAGUUGUGACACCAGACGUGACAGUACUUCGCUCUGUUGUCCUCAAAGGCAUUCCCAUUUUACUUUGUGACGACUCCAGUGAAUUCUUCAAGACAUGCUCUGAUACAGCGAGAGACGAGGCCCUAGAAUGCAUCACUGUUGGUGUGCUGACAGUUGUCAGUGAAGAUCGUCCUCACGAGGGUCCGAGUUCAGUGGACCUCCAGCCCAUCUCCACUGCCAUCAUUCUGGAGGGAGGUAUUGUCAUGGAUCGAAUUAAAAACUUGCCUCAGGCAGUUUGUCUGUU